CACGAAUGCAGACGCAAAUGUUUGCAGCUGCUGACUAUAAAACAAGGAUUCUCCCUGUAGCUCUUUACUUCUUCAUGACAUCUCUCUUCGUCUCACAGAUACGAAUGGAGUGUAAAGAGACAAUAAAGCAAACAGAAAGCUGCUGGAGCGUCAGGAACCACAGAUGAGCAAAAAACACGAGGACAGAAAGAAAUGGAGGUCAGAAUGUAAUGUGAUCCAGACGGACAUGUGACGUUUGAUUCUGAUGUUACAAGUGAGGUGAGAUUCUCACAUCGAACCCUUCAUCACUGAUGUCUAUCAUCAUCAUCAUCAUCAUCAUCAGACUACCGUUGACCUCCAGCCUUCUGGAAGCUUUAACAGACUCGUCCGAGCACAAACACACUCAGCAAGAGCGUCUUUCCCAGAGAACCUGCUGAUGCUGCACUUUACUGUCAAUCAUACUGUGAACAUUUGAGCUGCAUCAGACAGAGACUUGUUUUUGUUUAACCAAAUACUUGUUUCAA
This 503-nucleotide long non-coding RNA is filed under the name Sinocyclocheilus grahami. RNAcentral's name for it is "lncRNA (ENSSGRG00000001592.1)". Lineage: Eukaryota; Metazoa; Chordata; Actinopteri; Cypriniformes; Cyprinidae. The record is from RNAcentral.